This is a long non-coding RNA of Papaver somniferum (opium poppy), 1814 nucleotides long. RefSeq lists it as uncharacterized. The transcript is spliced from 4 exons. The record is from RefSeq and is a predicted model, not a curated record. NCBI's taxonomy places the organism in Eukaryota, Viridiplantae, Streptophyta, Magnoliopsida, Ranunculales, Papaveraceae.
CUGAGCAGUAAAAAAGCCGCCGCUGCAAAUUUCUCAAUCGGCGGUUCAGUAAAAGCUGCCGUCGUUGCCCACCUUCUCCGGUGCUCUGGUAGCGUCUUUUUCUCGAUUGGAUUGCCUUGAGAAGUGCGGUGUUGCUUCACUGCGAUGAAGACUGUCUGCAUCCUGAGUCCUCACACAUUGUUUGAAGGGACUACGAUGGACUCGCGGGCUCACCCCACCCACCACCACUCUUGCGACUUGUUUUUUCUUAUAUGCUGCUAUUAAGUGUUUCACGAUCUGAUUCGAUUUAUUUUCUUCUUCUUCUUCUUCAGAAUGGGAUUUCAUUUUAUUUAUUUUUCUUUUCUUACGUGCAAUUGAACUGUUUGAUGAUUUGCUUCAAUGGAAUUCCUUUUGUUUUCUCUCUAAAUUAGAGAUGUUAAUCAGAACUUUUUGGGAGUUUGGGUUGUCAUUUUUUGUAAUUGAGUUUUGUUUAUUUUUUGUGCCAUGGCAUUGUAAGAAGCUUGCGCUUGAGGUGGGUCUUGAAGAAGGGGGAAUAAAUGCUGUUUUGAUGCAGCAGAGUGGGACAAGGAAAGUGGUUUGCAUAUCACUGCAUGAGGGCAGUAACUAAGAGUUGACACCAGCAACUUUGGGAGUAUAUAAGAAAUUACUCUCUUUGUUUUUCGAAGUUGAUUGGCCAACUUUCGCCAGUAAACUUUGAAAAACAAAGAGAGCAGAUUUCUUUUGUUGAGAAAAAUGCUUAAACCACCGACUGUCUAGGCAAAGAUCCAGGAUAAGGAAAGUGUCCUACCACACCCGCAGAGGUUGAUAAUUCCUGGAAUUGGAAAGCAAUUGGAUAAUGGUUGUACCCUUGCUGACUACAACAUCCUGGAGGAGUCUACUCUGUACUUUGUUUGUGUCUAAAUGAUACAGAUUUUUGUGGCGACCUUGACCGGAAAAAUCGCCUUUGUAGGUGGAGCUUAAAUGCUAGCUAGCUUUUCCUAAUGGAGUCGGAUGCUGAAAAACAAACCAAGGAAAAUCCCAUUGAUAAUGUGAAUUGACGGGCUAUCUAUCAUUUACUACAAAAGUUGUCACAAUUUUACAGCUUAAUAUGGUGUUAGCAAUCAGACGACCAUAGCCCAAGGUCACACGAGCACACAUGGUUCUAAAGGUUUUGGGCUCGAAAAGUGGAUAUCAGCAUGAGUUAUAUGCGGCGUAAAGAGAAGUAGAACUAGAAAGAGGAGUAAUAUGUAAUUAAUGUCCAUAAAGGUCUACAAUUAAGAAUAUCAUACAUGUUACUUAAGACCAUGAGCUCGAUGUCUAGGACUUCUACAGGAAAAGUAGCUAAAAUAUUAUUUUUUGAGGACGAGGGAUGGGAUUUUUCUGCAGACAAUUUUGGGAAAAGAAAAGGAGAAGAAAUGCUUGACAGUUGGAUAUUACAAUGAAAUUUAAUCAAGGGGAAAACGCUGGGCACUACAAGGGAACAGCUUCAAAUUAGCAAUUAAACACAGAAAAGUAUAGAAAGUACCUUGCAAAAAUGGAACUGAAACCUCUCCCUGACCAACUCUGAAGACAUUUUCCUUCAAAGAGAAUGACCCAUGCCAAAAAAGAUUCAGAUAUAUAUGUUUGAUAUGUAAUCUAAUAUGGGCUUUUUAAUAAAGUAACCACCUUUUUGAACCAUAUUUAAGAAACUGGCCGUUUUUUUGAAUCUUUAUAUAAACUGGCCGAUAUUGACAUUUUCCAUCCCGUUUUUUUCAAAAAACGGAUUUAGGUAGUUAACUGGCUACGUGGCAGUUAACCUGCUAGGUAAAAGACAACUUAACCCUCGUCUGAGUUCG